ACUUUGAUAGCUCAGUUGGUAGAGUGUAGGACUGUAGAUUCUUAGGUCGCAGGUUCGAGUCCAGCUCAAAGGA
Non-coding RNA from Danio rerio (zebrafish), 73 nucleotides. NCBI's taxonomy places the organism in Eukaryota, Metazoa, Chordata, Actinopteri, Cypriniformes, Danionidae. The record is from the annotation of a RefSeq genome assembly.